This is a non-coding RNA of Oryctolagus cuniculus (rabbit), 863 nucleotides long. NCBI's taxonomy places the organism in Eukaryota, Metazoa, Chordata, Mammalia, Lagomorpha, Leporidae. The record is from RefSeq and is a predicted model, not a curated record.
CUCAGCGGCCCCGUCCCGCCUCACCUCCACCACGCGCUGCACACCUCCGUCCACGAGGGCCUCGGAGACGAACGUUCAAGCUGCCGCUUCUCAGGGCCCCUCUCCCCUUCUCACGCACAACCACUGCCCUGGCGCUCGCGGGAAGACAGGGCAAGAGCAGCCCCCGGAGCGCUGCACGUCAGGUACAGAAGUCAACGCUGGUCCCCACCACGAGAUGUUCUGUCUUCCCUGCUACAACAGGCUGCCUGCCCCGAAAGCACAGUCACUAACAAGAAAACUGAUACGGACUCGCUCCCAAGACACAAACACUCCUGACGGCCAACAAGGAAGCCAACAACUCAGUCAGAAAUGGACAGAGACCUGGACAGCUCACCAAACAUGUGCUGCUGUCACAGAUGCUCCUAGCCCACGAUCAGAGAGGGACAAACUCAAGAACACUCCGACCGCAUCAGAAGGGCUCCCAUCCAGAGCACUGGUACCAAGUGCCAGCAGUGACAGGGAACAGCGCGAGUGCUCACCCACCGCAGGUGGCAGUGCAGGCGGCCCGGCCCCAUGGGAGGCGGUGCAGGUCUCCGAUGGAGUUACACACGCUCCUUCCUGUGAUCCAACAGCGUGCUCCCUGGUGCUCCCCUACAUGAACGGCAACUCAACUACUGUAAUUUCCCAAACUCAACCACCAAGAUGCCCUUUGUGGUGCAUCCAUGCAAUGAGCUGUAAUUCAGGGAAGAGUGAAGUAAACCCCCAGCCACGGAAAGACAUGGAAGAAUUUAAAAUGCAUGUUGGAAAGCGAAAGAAGUGGUCUGAACAGGCUGUGUAUGCGCCACCCUGGUAGGACGGUUCUGGAUUUCUGGAGGGGAGGAGCA